RNAcentral lists this ribosomal RNA (289 nucleotides) under uncultured bacterium. RNAcentral's name for it is "partial 16S ribosomal RNA". It matches the Rfam family "Bacterial small subunit ribosomal RNA", at positions 773 to 1060 of the family's 1533-position model. The record is from RNAcentral.
GUGGAUUAGAUACCCUGGUAGUCCACGCCCUAAACGAUGUCUACUAGUUGUCGGGUCUUAAUUGACUUGGUAACGCAGCUAACGCGUGAAGUAGACCGCCUGGGGAGUACGGUCGCAAGAUUAAAACUCAAAGGAAUUGACGGGGACCCGCACAAGCGGUGGAUGAUGUGGAUUAAUUCGAUGCAACGCGAAAAACCUUACCUACCCUUGACAUGUCUGGAAUCCCUGAGAGAUUGGGGAGUGCUCGAAAGAGAGCCGGAACACAGGUGCUGCACGGCCGUCGCCAACU